Molecule: ribosomal RNA, 354 nt
Filed under: uncultured Geobacteraceae bacterium
Lineage: Bacteria; Pseudomonadati; Thermodesulfobacteriota; Desulfuromonadia; Geobacterales; Geobacteraceae
Description: bacterial SSU rRNA
Rfam family: Bacterial small subunit ribosomal RNA
Source: RNAcentral
GGCMCWKAGSAWGCACCGGCUAACUCCGUGCCAGCAGCCGCGGUAWUACGGGGGGUGCAAGCGUUGUUCGGAAUUAUUGGGCGUAAAGCGCGUGUAGGCGGUCUGAUUAGUCUGAUGUGAAAGCCCUGGGCUCAACCCAGGAAGUGCAUUGGAUACUGUCAGACUUGAAUACGGGAGAGGGUAGUGGAAUUCCUAGUGUAGGAGUGAAAUCCGUAGAUAUUAGGAGGAACACCGGUGGCGAAGGCGGCUACCUGGACCGAUAUUGACGCUGAGACGCGAAAGCGUGGGUAGCAAACAGGAUUAGAUACCCUGGUAGUCCACGCCGUAAACGAUGAGAACUAGGUGUCGCGGGUA